This 1119-nucleotide ribosomal RNA is filed under the name Aldisa cooperi. Its description in RNAcentral is "16S ribosomal RNA". The stretch from base 543 to 706 matches the Rfam family "Archaeal large subunit ribosomal RNA", at positions 1881 to 2091 of the family's 2987-position model. The record is from RNAcentral. Lineage: Eukaryota; Metazoa; Mollusca; Gastropoda; Nudibranchia; Dorididae.
AAUUUAUUUAAUAUUUAUAAAUUUAAAAAAUAUUUUUGAGUUAUUACAUUAAUGGAAGAUUUAUAAAUUUUUAAGUUAAUAAUUUUUACCUUUUGUAUAAUGGCUGUACAAUAAAUAUAUUGAAUAAUAGUUCCCGAAAUAAGAAGAUCUAACUAUUAACGUUUUGUUAGAAAAUAAUAGAAUUAUGUUGAAAUAUGGUUUUAUAGAUUAGUAGUUAGGAGCGAAAAACUUUCAAUUCUUUUGAUAUCUGGUAGUUCUAGAAAAGCAUUUAGUGCUGAAAAAUUAAUCAUAAAGUGUUUAGAUUUUAUGAUAAAAGAAUUUUAAAUACAAUUUUUUUCUUUAGAGUUAAUCCUACAAAGAAUAAUUUUAUUAAAUUAUUAAUUUUUAAUUAUAUCUUUAUUGUAUAGAACUUUUUUGAUUAUUUAGUAUCAAAAAUAAUAAUGUAUAGAUAAGUAAUAUUUUAGUAGCAUUUAUUAGAUAAAAGACUGAUUCAAAAUUUUAUAAAUAGAAACUUUUAAUUAUUUGAAAGGAACUCGGCAAAUGUAAACUUCGACUGUUUAACAAAAACAUAGUUUUAGGAGAUUUAUCUAAAAUAAUACCUGCCCAAUGUUGAUUUAUAAACGGCCGCGGUACUUUGACCGUGCUAAGGUAGCGCAAUCAAUUGGCUUUUAAAUGAAGUCGUGUAUGAAUGGAAUAACGGAGUUUAGCUGUCUCUCAGAAUAAUUUAUUGAAAUUACUAUAUAGGUGAAAAAGCCUAUAUGAAGAAAAAAGACGAGAAGACCCUUAGAAUUUAUCUUAAGUCCAGGAAAUAUAGAACAUUUUUGGAAUAGUUUUGUUGGGGCAACAUAGGAGCAUUUUUUAAUCUCCUUAAAAUUAUAAACCGAUAAUUAUAAAAUUAAAUAAAUUACCUUAGGGAUAACAGCAAAAUACUAUAAAUGAGUUUGUGACCUCGAUGUUGGACUAGAAAACUAGCAGGCUAGCCGCUUGUUAGGAAAGUUCUGUUCGAACUAUAAUUUUCUACAUGAUCUGAGUUCAGACCGGCGUAAGCCAGGUCAGAUUCUAUCUUUUUAGUUUUAAGAAUUUAGUACGAAAGGACCAAUUCUUAGUAUAAUUUUUAUA